AACGCUGGCGGCGUGCUUAACACAUGCAAGUCGAACGAGAAGAGAUGAGAAGCUUGCUUCUUAUUGAUUCGAGUGGCAAACGGGUGAGUAACGCGUAAGCAACCUGCCCUUCAGAUGGGGGACAACAGCUGGAAACGGCUGCUAAUACCGAAUACGUUCUUUUUGUCGCAUGGCAGAGGGAAGAAAGGGAGGCUCUUCGGAGCUUUCGCUGAAGGAGGGGCUUGCGUCUGAUUAGCUAGUUGGAGGGGUAACGGCCCACCAAGGCGACGAUCAGUAGCCGGUCUGAGAGGAUGAACGGCCACAUUGGGACUGAGACACGGCCCAGACUCCUACGGGAGGCAGCAGUGGGGAAUCUUCCGCAAUGGACGAAAGUCUGACGGAGCAACGCCGCGUGAGCGAUGACGGCCUUCGGGUUGUAAAGUUCUGUUAUACGGGACGAAUGGCGUAGCGGUCAAUACCCGUUACGAGUGACGGUACCGUAAGAGAAAGCCACGGCUAACUACGUG
This 506-nucleotide ribosomal RNA is filed under the name uncultured bacterium. RNAcentral describes it as "bacterial SSU rRNA". It matches the Rfam family "Bacterial small subunit ribosomal RNA", at positions 32 to 507 of the family's 1533-position model. The record is from RNAcentral.